UACAGGGAGACAGGACGGACAGCUGAUCGUCCUCGCAGUGGCAGACCACAUGAAACAACACCUGCACAGGAUCGGUACAUCCGAACAUCACACCUGCGGGACAAGUACAGGAUGGCAACAACAUCCGCCAGAGUUAGACCAGGAACGUACAAUCCCUCCAUCAGUAAUCAGACUGUCCGCAAUAUAGGCUGUGAAACUGACAAUUAACAUGUAACCAAAGAGGAGGAGUUCUUCAGUCUGUCUCACUGUCAGCUGUUGGAGCUCAUCAGCCAGGACAGCCUCAAGGUGCUCUGUGAGUCAGAGGCCAACUCCUGUAGCGACUUCCUUUCGAAGAUAUUCCAGGAAAUGGCGUUGAGGAAGCCCCUCCCCCCUGCGCCUCACCGUGGAACGCAGCUUAUCUACGUAGCCGGAGGGUAUCGGCAGCACUCUCUGUCUUCUAUGGAGGCCUAUGACCCUGGUAGGAACAUCUGGCUGAAGCUAGCUGACAUGGGCUCUCCCUGCAGUGGCCUGGGCUCCUGUGUGCUGUUUGACCUGCUCU
This is a long non-coding RNA of Oncorhynchus gorbuscha (pink salmon), 538 nucleotides long. RefSeq lists it as uncharacterized. The record is from RefSeq and is a predicted model, not a curated record. NCBI's taxonomy places the organism in Eukaryota, Metazoa, Chordata, Actinopteri, Salmoniformes, Salmonidae. The transcript has 4 exons.